This 468-nucleotide ribosomal RNA is filed under the name uncultured bacterium. Its description in RNAcentral is "partial 16S ribosomal RNA". It matches the Rfam family "Bacterial small subunit ribosomal RNA", at positions 28 to 507 of the family's 1533-position model. The record is from RNAcentral.
GACGAACGCUGGCGGCGUGCUUAACACAUGCAAGUCGAACGGAAAGGCCCUGCUUUUGUGGGGUGCUCGAGUGGCGAACGGGUGAGUAACACGUGAGUAACCUGCCCUUGACUUUGGGAUAACUUCAGGAAACUGGGGCUAAUACCGGAUAGGAGCUCCCGCUGCAUGGUGGGGGUUGGAAAGUUUCGGCGGUUGGGGAUGGACUCGCGGCUUAUCAGCUUGUUGGUGGGGUAGUGGCUUACCAAGGCUUUGACGGGUAGCCGGCCUGAGAGGGUGACCGGCCACAUUGGGACUGAGAUACGGCCCAGACUCCUACGGGAGGCAGCAGUGGGGAAUACUGCACAAUGGGCGGAAGCCUGAUGCAGCAACGCCGCGUGCGGGAUGACGGCCUUCGGGUUGUAAACCGCUUUCGCCUGUGACGAAGCGUGAGUGACGGUAAUGGGUAAAGAAGCACCGGCUAACUACGUG